This is a non-coding RNA of Pseudonaja textilis, 384 nucleotides long. The record is from the annotation of a RefSeq genome assembly. Lineage: Eukaryota; Metazoa; Chordata; Lepidosauria; Squamata; Elapidae.
UUAAAGGGAGCAAAAAUGAUCUGCUGGCUAAACUUACUGUCCUUACUAGCAGUCCUCAGAGGUGUCCAAUCUGAGGUCCAGUUGGUGGAAUCUGGAGGGGAUGUGAGAAGGCCUGAGGAGUCCCUCCGCCUCUCCUGCCAAGCUUCAGGCUUCACCUUCAGCAGCUAUGAGAUGAACUGGGUGAGACAGGCUCCAGGAAAAGGACUGGAAUGGAUUGGCUGGAUAGAUAAUGAAGGAGAUGGGAGCAACCAAUACUAUGCUAAUUCUGUGAAAGGCCGUUUUACCAUCUACCGCCGAGAUGCCUCCAGCAUGCUUUAUCUCCAAAUGAACAGCCUAAAAUCAGAGGAAACCGCUGUGUAUUACUGUGCUACAGACUCACAGUGA